CAUGCUAGGGACCCUGGGUGAAAGCCUGGGGUGCCCCGCGAGGGGAGCCCUAGCACAGGUGUUGCAUGGCCGUCGUCAGCUCGUGUCGUGAGAUGUUGGGUUAAGUCCCGCAACGAGCGCAACCCUUGCCGUUAGUUGCCAGCGGGUGAAGCCGGGCACUCUAACGGGACUGCCUGCGAAAGCAGGAGGAAGGCGGGGACGACGUCUGGUCAUCAUGGCCCUUACGGCCUGGGCGACACACGUGCUACAAUGCCCUCUACAGAGCGAGGCGACCUGGCGACGGGGAGCGAAUCGCAAAAAGGUGGGCGUAGUUCGGAUUGGGGUCUGCAACCCGACCCCAUGAAGCCGGAAUCGCUAGUAAUCGCGGAUCAGCCAUGCCGCGGUGAAUACGUUCCCGGGCCUUGUACACACCGCCCGUCACGCCAUGGGAGCGGGUUCUACCCGAAGUCGCCGGGAGCCUUAGGGCAGGCGCCGAGGGUAGGGCCCGUGACUGGGGCGAAGUCGUAACAAGGUAA
This 515-nucleotide ribosomal RNA is filed under the name uncultured bacterium. Its description in RNAcentral is "bacterial SSU rRNA". It matches the Rfam family "Bacterial small subunit ribosomal RNA", at positions 985 to 1499 of the family's 1533-position model. The record is from RNAcentral.